CGGAUGGAUUUCCUAUAUGACUGAGUGGCGGACGGGUGAGUAACGCGUGGGGAACCUGCCCUAUACAGGGGGAUAACAGCUGGAAACAGCUGCUAAUACCGCAUAAGCGCACAGAAUCGCAUGAUUCAGUGUGAAAAGCCCUGGCAGUAUAGGAUGGUCCCGCGUCUGAUUAGCUGGUUGGUGAGGUAACGGCUCACCAAGGCGACGAUCAGUAGCCGGCUUGAGAGAGUGAACGGCCACAUUGGGACUGAGACACGGCCCAAACUCCUACGGGAGGCAGCAGUGGGGAAUAUUGCACAAUGGGGGAAACCCUGAUGCAGCGACGCCGCGUGAGUGAAGAAGUAUUUCGGUAUGUAAAGCUCUAUCAGCAGGGAAGAAAACAGACGGUACCUGACUAAGAAGCCCCGGCUAACUACGUGCCAGCAGCCGCGGUAAUACGUAGGGGGCAAGCGUUAUCCGGAAUUACUGGGUGUAAAGGGUGCGUAGGUGGCAUGGUAAGUCAGAAGUGAAAGCCCGGGGCUUAACCCCGGGACUGCUUUUGAAACUGUCAUGCUGGAGUGCAGGAGAGGUAAGCGGAAUUCCUAGUGUAGCGGUGAAAUGCGUAGAUAUUAGGAGGAACACCAGUGGCGAAGGCGGCUUACUGGACUGUCACUGACACUGAUGCACGAAA
Molecule: ribosomal RNA, 670 nt
Filed under: uncultured Lachnospiraceae bacterium
Lineage: Bacteria; Bacillati; Bacillota; Clostridia; Lachnospirales; Lachnospiraceae
Description: bacterial SSU rRNA
Rfam family: Bacterial small subunit ribosomal RNA
Source: RNAcentral